RNAcentral lists this ribosomal RNA (395 nucleotides) under uncultured bacterium. RNAcentral's name for it is "partial 16S ribosomal RNA". It matches the Rfam family "Bacterial small subunit ribosomal RNA", at positions 523 to 918 of the family's 1533-position model. The record is from RNAcentral.
AUACGUAGGGUGCAAGCGUUAAUCGGAAUUACUGGGCGUAAAGCGUGCGCAGGCGGUUUUGUAAGGCAGUGGUGAAAUCCCCGGGCUCAACCUGGGAAAUGCCUUUGUGACUGCAAGGCUGGAGGGCGGCAGAGGGGGAUGGAAUUCCGCGUGUAGCAGGGUAAUGCGUAGAUAUGCGGAGGAACACCGAUGGCGAAGGCAAUCCCCUGGGCCUGCACUGACGCUCAUGCACGAAAGCGUGGGGAGCAAACAGGAUUAGAUACCCUGGUAGUCCACGCCCUAAACGAUGUCAACUGGUUGUUGGGGAUUUAUUUUCUCAGUAACGAAGCUAACGCGUGAAGUUGACCGCCUGGGGAGUACGGCCGCAAGGUUAAAACUCAAAUGAAUUGACGGGG